UACGUAGGGGGCUAGCGUUGUCCGGAAUCAUUGGGCGUAAAGCGCGCGUAGGCGGCCCGGUAAGUCCGCUGUGAAAGUCAAAGGCUCAACCUUUGAAUGUCAGCGGAUACUGCCGGGCUAGAGUCCGGAAGAGGCGAGCGGAACUCCUGGUGUAGCGGUGGAAUGCGCAGAUAUCAGGAAGAACACCAACGGCGAAGGCAGCUCGCUGGGACGGAACUGACGCUAAGGCGCGAAAGCGUGGGGAGCGAACAGG
RNAcentral lists this ribosomal RNA (253 nucleotides) under uncultured bacterium. Its description in RNAcentral is "partial 16S ribosomal RNA". It matches the Rfam family "Bacterial small subunit ribosomal RNA", at positions 524 to 776 of the family's 1533-position model. The record is from RNAcentral.